GAUAAACGCUGGCGGCGUGCCUAAUGCAUGCAAGUCGAACGGGAGCGUCUUCGGGCGUCGACCGUGGCGGACGGGUGAGGAAUACGUAGCUAACCUGCCCCGACCCGGGGGAUAGUCGCCGGAAACGGCGCGCAAUACCCCAUGGGCUCCGCGCGAGGGAUCGCGCGGAGCAAAAGGUCGCAAGACCGGGCUGGGAGGGGGCUGCGGCGGAUUAGCUAGUUGGCGGGGUAACGGCCCACCAAGGCGAGAUCCGUAGCUGGUCUGAGAGGACGAUCAGCCACACGGGGGACUGAGACACGGCCCCGACUCCUACGGGAGGCAGCAGCAAGGAAUUUUUCCACAAUGGGCGCAAGCCUGAUGGAGCAACGCCGCGUGCAGGAUGAA
Molecule: ribosomal RNA, 384 nt
Filed under: uncultured bacterium
Lineage: Bacteria
Description: bacterial SSU rRNA
Rfam family: Bacterial small subunit ribosomal RNA
Source: RNAcentral